GCAUUUUUAGCUCACCGGGGCCCAAAGGGCCCCAUGUGAGCUUAUGCCAUCACUUGGCGUCCGUCGUCUGUUGUCGUAAACUAUUUCAAAAAUCUUCUUCUCUGAAACUACUGGGCCAAAUACCUUCAAACUUUAACUAAAUGUUCCUUAGGGUAUCUAGUUUAUGAAUUGUAUCCGAAGUUUUGAUCCAUCGACAAACAUGGCCACCAUGGCUAAAAAUAGAACAUAGAGGUCAAAUGCAGUUUUUUGCUUUUAUCUCAAAAACUAAAGCUUUUAGAGCAAAUCUGACAUGUGGUAAAAUUGUUCAAUUGGUGAAGAUCUAUCAGCCCUGAAAUUUUCAGACGAAUUAAACAACUCAUUGUUGGGUUGCUGCCACUAAAUUAGUAGUUUUAAGGAAAUUUUGCAGUUUUUAUACGACCGCAAAAAUUGAAAAUUUUUUGGUCGUAUAUUGGUAUGACGUUGGCGUCGUCGUCGUCGUCGUCGUCGUCGUCGUCGUCGUCGUCGUCGUCGUCUGGCGUCGUCCGGCGUCGUCCGAAGACACAUUGGUUUUCGCACUCUAACUUUAGUUUAAGUGAAUGGAUCUCCAUGAAAUUUUACCAUAAGGUUCAAUACCACGAAAGGAAGGUUGGGAUUGAUUUUGGGGGUUAUGGUACCAACAGUUAAGGAAUUAGGGGCCAAAAAGGGGCCAAAAAUAAGCAUUUUUGUAACUUCCAGACAAUAACUUGUGUGUAAGUGUAUGGAUCUCUCUGACAUUGUACCACAAGGUUCCAUAUCACAAAGGGAAGGCUGUAAUUGAUUUUGGGGGUAAUUGCCCCAAAAUUUUAGGAAUUAGGGGCCAAAAAAGGGGCAAAAAACAAGCAUUUUUCUAGUUUCAUGACAAUAACUUGUGUGUAAGUGUUUGGAUAUUUCUGAAAUUGUACUACAAGGUUCCAUAUCACAAAGGGAAAGCUGGAAUUGAGUUUGGGGGUAAUUGCCCGAAACGUUUAGGAAUUGGGGGCCAAAAAGGGGCCAAAAAUAAGCAUUUUUCUAGUUUCCAGACAAUAACUUGUGUUCAAGUGUAUGGAUCUCUCUGAAAUUGUACUGCAAGGUACCAUACCACAAAGGGAAGGCUGGGAUUGAGUUUGGGGGUGAUGAAUCAUAAGGGGAUUCAAAAAAUUGGGGGGGGGGAUUUUUUUUUUUUUUUUUCUUUUUUUUUUUUUUUUUCCUUUUUUUUUUCUUUUAAAAUUUUCCAUUUUAAGUUGGUUAUUUCUGAUUAAUAUUUAAAAGCAAAUAAUAAUGAUAUGGUAGGAGAUACACACCAAACAGGAUGUGUAAAUUAUUAUCUAAUAAGUAUUGUGCAAUAGCAAGAAAUUUUCAAUUGCACAGUAUUGCACAAUAGCAAGAAAUCUUCAAUUGCACAGUAUUGCGCAAUAGCAAGAAAUCUUCAAUUGCACAGUAUUGCGCAAUAGCAAGAAAUAUCCAAUAGCACAAUAUUGCACAAUAGCAAGAAAUUGUCAAUUGUACAGUAUUGCACAAUAGCAAGAAAUAUUCAAUUGCACAGUAUUGUGCAAAAGAAGAUACUUCGUAUAAAUUGCUUAUUUCUUGAUCAAUUUCAAUGGGGUUUUAUUCUUGAAUUCUUGGGGUUCUUUAAUAUGCUGAAUCUAACCGUGUAUUAAGUUUUUGGAUUUUUGGCCCCGUUUUUAAAUUGGUCCACAUUGAGGUCCAAAGGGUCCAAAAUUUAACUUUGUUUGAUUUCAUCAAAAAUUGAAUUAUUGGGGUUCUUUGAUAUGCCGAAUCUAACCGUGUAUUUAGAUUCUUAAUUUUUGGUUCCGUUUUCAAAUUGGUCUACAUUAAGGUCAAAAGGGUCCAAAAUUAAACUUAGUUUGAUUUUAACAAAAAUUGAAUUUUUAGGGUACUUUGAUAUGCUGAAUCUAAACAUGUAUUUAGAUUUUUGAUUAUGGGCCCAGUUUUCAAGUUGGUCCAAAUCGGGGUCCAAAAUUAAACUUUGUUUGAUUUCAACAAAAAUUGAAUAUAUGGGGUUCUUUGAUAUGCUGAAUCUAACCAUGUAUUUAGAUUUUUGAUUUUUGGGCCCCGUUAUCAACUUUGUCCACAUUGAGGUCAAAAGGGUCCAAAAUUAAACUUUGUUUGAUUUCAUCAAAAAUUGAAUUCUUGGGGUUCUUUGAUAUGCUGAAUCUAACCAUGUAUUUCGAUUUUUUAUUUGUGGACCCGCUAUCAAAUUGGUUCAUACUGAGGUCAAAAGGAUCCAAAAUUGAACUUUGUUUGAUUUCAUCAAAAAUUGAAUUAUUGGGGUUCUUUGAUAUGCCAAAUCCAACCGUGUAUUUAGAUUUUUAAUUUUGGGUCCCGUUUUUAAAUUGGUCUACAAUAAGGUCCAAAGGGUCCAAAAUUAAACUUAGUUUGAUUUUAACAAAAAUUGAAUUCUUGGGGUUCUUUGAUAUGCUGAAUCUAAACAUGUGUUUAGAUUUAUGAUUAUGGGCCCAGUUUUCAAGUUGGUCCAAGUUGGGGUUCAAAAUUAAACUUUGUUUGAUUUCAACAAAAAUUGAAUAUAUGGGGUUCUUUGAUAUGCUGAAUCUUACCAUGUAUUUAGAUUUUAGAUUUUUGGCCCAGUUUUCAAGUUGGUCCAAAUUGGGGUCCAAAAUUAAACUUUGUUUGAUUUCAACAAAAAUUGAAUAUAUGGGGUUCUUUGAUAUGCUGAAUCUUACCAUGUAUUUAGAUUUUUUAUUUGUGGGCCCGCUAUCAAAUUGGUUCAUAUUGAGGUCAAAAGGGUCCAAAAUUAAACUUUGUUUGAUUUCAUCAAAAAUUUAAUUAUUGGGGUUCUUUGAUAUGCCAAAUCUAGCCGUGUAUUUAGAUUUUUAAUUUUGGGUCCCGUUUUUUAAAUUGGUCUACAUUAAGGUCUAAAGGGUCCAAAAUUAAACUUUGUUUGAUUUUAACAAAAAUUGAAUUUUUGGGGUUCUUUGAUAUGCUGAAUCUAAACAUGUGUUUAGAUUUUUUAUUAUGGGACCAGUUUUCAAGUUGGUCCAAGUUGGGGUCCAAAAUUAAACUUUGUUUGAUUUCAACAAAAAUUGAAUAUAUGGGGUUCUUUGAUAUGCUGAAUCUAAACAUGUAUUUAGAUUUUAGAUUUUUGGCCCAGUUUUCAAGUUGGUCCAAAUUGGGGUCCAAAAUUAAACUUUGUUUGAUUUCAACAAAAAUAGAAUAUAUGGGGUUCUUUGAUAUGCUGAAUCUUACCAUGUAUUUAGAUUUUUUAUUUUGUGGGCCCGCUAUCAAAUUGGUUCAUAUUGAGGUCAAAAGGGUCCAAAAUUAAACUUUGUUUGAUUUCAUCAAAAAUUGAAUUAUUGGGGUUCUUUGAUAUGCCAAAUCUAACCGUGUUUUUAGAUUUUUAUACGACCGCAAACAAAUUUUGUGGUCGUAUAUUGGUAUGACGUUGGCGUCGUCGUCGUCGUCGUCGUCGUCGUCGUCCGGCGUCGUCGUCCGGCGUCGUCGUCCGAAUACAUAUUGGUUUUCGCACUCUAACUUUAGUUUAAGUGAAUGGAUCUUUUUGAAAUUUGACCAUAAGGUUAAAUACCACAAAAGGAAGGUUGGGAUUGAUUUUGGGGGUUAUGGUACCAACAGUUAAGGAAUUAGGGGCCAAAAAGGGGCCAAAAAUUAGCAUUUUCUAGUUUCCAGACAAUAACUGUGGAACGGUGUAUGGAUCUCUCUGAAAUUAUACUACAAGUUUCCAUACCACAAAGGGAUGGUUAGGAUUUGCUUUGGGGGGUUAUGGCUCAAACCGUUUAGGAAUUAGGGGCAAAAAAGGGGGGAAAACAAGGUUGUCCUGGUUAAUGGACAAAUACUUUAGUACAAAACAUAAUUUAAAGCAGUGUAAGGGAGAUAAAUCAAAUACAUCAUUGAAAUUAUCUCCCUUACACUGCUUUUAAAUUAUGUAUAAAGUAAUGGUUAAUGAACAAUAAAGAUAAUCUAAAACAGUGUAAGGGAGGUAAUCCAAAUACAACGUUUUGGUUACUUCCCUUACACUGCUUUUAAAUUAUGUUUAAAGAAAUGCAUAUUUAUAAAGGAAGACCAGUAAAAAUAUCUGCAAAUGUUUUCAUCUUUUUUUUUUACAAAAAAAUCCAUAUGAAAGAUUUGACACUAUAUUUUUAUUAAUUCUAUUAUGAAAUAGAUUAAGUUAGCACUAUGGUAAAUUUAAAUGGGUAAUUAUGGUUGCCAACUCCAUUGGAAAUUUGAAUUGAGAUUAUGACCAUAUCUUGAGGGAAAGAAUUUUUUGGGGGGAAAAAGGGGGGGGGGGAUAAAAAGAAAUUGUGGGGGGCCAAUUUUUUCUCAUUUCAGAUUUCAGAAAUUAAAAAGAAUUAUUCUUCAAAUAUUAUUUUUUUUUCAAAUUUCAAAUAUUGAAAAAUUUCAAGAAGUAAUCUUUAAUUGCACAGUAUGGCGCAUUAGAUUUGUAAAAUCUUUGAUCACAUUUAUUUAUUUGUUAUGCCGAAUCUAACAGUGUAUUUAGAUUUUUAAUUUUGGGUCCAGUUUUCAAAUUGGUCUACAUUAAUGUCCAAAGGGUCCAAAAUUAAACUUUGUUUGAUUUUAGCAAAAAUUGAAUAUAUGAGGUUCUUUGAUAUGCUGAAUCUAAACAUGUAUUUAGAUUUUUGAUUUUUGGCCCAGUUUUCAAGUUGGUCCAAAUUGGGGUCCAAAAUUAAACUUUGUUUGAUUUCAACAAAAAUUGAAUAUAUGGGGUUCUUUGAUAUGCUGAAUCUAACCAUGUAUUUAGAUUUUUUAUUUGUGGACAUUGUUAUCUAAUUGGUUCAUAUUGAGGUCAAAAGGGUCCAAAAUUAAACUUUGUUUGAUUUCAUCUAAAAUUGAAUUAUUGGGGUUCUUUGAUAUUCCAAAUCUAACCGUGUAUUUAGAUUUUUAAUUUUGGGUCCUGUUUUUUAAAUUGGUCUACAUUAAGGUCCAAAGGGUCCAAAAUUAAACUUAGUUUGAUUUUAACAAAAAUUGAAUUCUUGGGGUUCUUUGAUAUGCUGAAUCUAAACAUGUGUUUAGAUUUUUGAUUAUGGGCCCAGUUUUCAAGAUGGUCCAAGAUAGGGUCCAGUAUUUAAACUUUGUUUGAUUUCAACAAAAAUUGAAUAUAUGGGGUUCUUUGAUAUGCUAUAUCUAAACAUGUAUUUAGAUUUUUGAUUAUGGGCCCAGUUUUCAAGUUGGUCCAAGUUGGGGUCCAAAAUUAAACUUUUUUUGAUUUCAACAAAAAUUGAAUAUAUGGGGUUCUUUGAUAUGCUGAAUCUAACCAUGAAUUUAGAUUUUUUAUUUGUGGGCCCCGCUAUCAAAUUGGUUCAUAUUGAGGUCAAAAGGGUCCAAAAUUAAACUUUGUUUGAUUUCAUCAAAAAUUGAAUUAUUGGGGUUCUUUGAUAUUCCAAAUCUAACCGUUGAUUUAGAUUUUUAAUUUUAAGUCCCGUUUUUUUAAAUUGGUCUACAUUAAGGUCCAAAGGGUCCAAAAUUAAACUUAGUUUGAUUUUAGCAAAAAUUGAAUUCUUGGGGUUCUUUGAUAUGCUGAAUCGAAGCAUGUGUUUAGAUUUUUGAUUAUGGGCCCAGUUUUCAAGUUUGUCCAAGUUGGGGUCCAAAAUUAAACUUUGUUUGAUUUUAACAAAAAUUGAAUAUAUGGGGUUCUUUGAUAUGCUGAAUCUAACCAUGUAUUUUGAUUUUGGACAUUGGACCAUAAUAGGUAAAUUAAAAAAAUUCUUAGACCACAUUCUUUCUGUGUCAGAAACCUAUGCUGUGUCAAAUAUUUAAUAACAAUCCAAAUUCAGAGCUGUAUCAAGCUUGAAUGUUGUGUCCAUACUUGCCCCAACUGUUCAGGGUUCGACCUCUGCGGUCGUAUCAAGCUGCGCCCCAGCGAAGCAUUUUAUUGGUUAUUAUCUUGAAUAUUAUUGAAGAUAAAGAUAAACUGUAAACAGCAAAAAUGUUCAGCAAAGUAAGAUCUACAAAAAAGUUUUAUAUGACCAAAAUUGUCAAUUGACCCCUUAAGGAGUUAUUGCCCUUUAAGGACAAUUUUACACAAGUUGUUUUAUGUUUUUUAACUUUAAAAAUCUUCUCAAAUGAAUCUAGUAUAAAUUUUGUAUUUCAUUUCCUUGUACGUCAAGAAACAUUGACACUAUGGCUAAAAUGGAACAUAUGGGUAAAAAGCAAAAAUAAUCAUUGAUGAAAGAUUUAAGCAAAAAAAAUAACAGGUGAGCGAUUCAGGCUCUUGAGAGCCUCUUGUUCUAGUUUUCAGACAAUAACUUGUGUUCAAGUGUAUGGAUCUCUCUGAAAUUGUACUGCAAGGUACCAUACCACAAAGGGAAGGCUGGGAUUGAGUUUCGAGGUGCUGAAU
Mytilus californianus (California mussel) is the source of this 6346-nucleotide long non-coding RNA. RefSeq lists it as uncharacterized. The transcript has 3 exons. The record is from RefSeq and is a predicted model, not a curated record. NCBI's taxonomy places the organism in Eukaryota, Metazoa, Mollusca, Bivalvia, Mytilida, Mytilidae.